RNAcentral lists this ribosomal RNA (498 nucleotides) under uncultured bacterium. Its description in RNAcentral is "bacterial SSU rRNA". It matches the Rfam family "Bacterial small subunit ribosomal RNA", at positions 28 to 514 of the family's 1533-position model. The record is from RNAcentral.
GAUGAACGCUAGCUACAGGCUUAACACAUGCAAGUCGAGGGGAAACGAUAUUGGAAGCUUGCUUCCGAUAGGCGUCGACCGGCGCACGGGUGAGUAACGCGUAUCCAACCUGCCCACCACUUGGGGAUAACCUUGCGAAAGUAAGACUAAUACCCAAUGAUAUCUCUAGAAGACAUCUGAAAGAGAUUAAAGAUUUAUCGGUGAUGGAUGGGGAUGCGUCUGAUUAGCUUGUUGGCGGGGUAACGGCCCACCAAGGCAACGAUCAGUAGGGGUUCUGAGAGGAAGGUCCCCCACAUUGGAGCUGAGACACGGUCCAAACUCCUACGGGAGGCAGCAGUGAGGAAUAUUGGUCAAUGGGCGAGAGCCUGAACCAGCCAAGUAGCGUGCAGGACGACGGCCCUAUGGGUUGUAAACUGCUUUUAUAAGGGAUAAAGUGAGUCUCGUGAGACUUUUUGCAUGUACCUUAUGAAUAAGGACCGGCUAAUUCCGUGCCAGCAG